AAACAAGAAGCAAAAACUUGCAUUUAGUUUCGACCUAAAUUUUUGAUUUUUAUUAAUCCUUGUUUU
This 66-nucleotide transfer RNA is filed under the name Anthonomus grandis (boll weevil). RNAcentral's name for it is "tRNA-Arg". Lineage: Eukaryota; Metazoa; Arthropoda; Insecta; Coleoptera; Curculionidae. The record is from RNAcentral.